Long non-coding RNA from Clupea harengus (Atlantic herring), 6995 nucleotides. The record is from Ensembl. Lineage: Eukaryota; Metazoa; Chordata; Actinopteri; Clupeiformes; Clupeidae.
UGCCCCCCUGGUAGCUACGGUAACCGCUCUGGGUUGACAGAUGUAUUGGAUUGCACUCUGUGUGACCAGGGGAUGUUUUGCAGAGGCUCAGGGAACGAGUCCCCCACCGGCCCGUGUGACUCCGGCUUCCUGUGCCUCGGUGGAGCAUCCGCUCCUGCCCCCACCGAUGGGGUCACCGGCGCUCCCUGCCCCCGGGGGUUCUACUGCCCAGCGGGGAGUUACUCCGCAGUGCCCUGUCCAAAAGGCACCUUCAGUGAGAGGAGCGGGCUCGGCGAGCAGUCUGAGUGCCAGCGAUGUUCUCCAGGGUUCUACUGCGCGGAACCGGGGCUGACUGCCGUGAGCGGACCCUGCCUGUCAGGCUUCUUCUGCCUUGAGGGCUCUCCAGACGUGACCCCGGUGGCAGAGGGGUACGGGGACCUGUGCCCGCCAGGCCACUACUGUGAGAACGGCACCGCAGCGCCCGCCGCCUGCCCAGCGGGCACACACCGACCCCAGACGGGCGGGCGUGGGAGGCAGGACUGUGUGACCUGCCCUGCAGGCUGGUUCCAGGACCACACAGGGCAGACGGAAUGUAAACCCUGCCCUGCAAGGUUCUACUGCCCCUCCCCCCAUCAGGAGGCUGGUGGGGUAGUUACCCCUGUGACCUGCCCGCAGGGGUAUUUCUGCCCUGGCGAUGCCCCUCUGGACAGCCCUGUGCCCUGCCCCAGGGGCACUUAUAGCAGUACUGAGGGCCUGAGCACUGCAGACGAGUGCUGGGUUUGCCCCGCGGGGCAUUUCUGCGGAUCGGACGGCCUCACCCAGCCCACGGGGCCUUGCGCGGCAGGCUUCCUCUGCCACAUCAGGGCGGUGGUGCCCAACCCUGUGGACGACAGCACCGGCUCCCUCUGCCCCCCUGGGGCAUUCUGCCAGGCGGGGAUCAUAGCAGGAGAAUGUUCUCCAGGAUACUACUGCAGUGGGGGUUCCACCAGCCCUGAGGGGGUUCUGUGCCCUGCAGGGUUCUACUGCCCCAAGGGUUCCCACACACCCUUCCCCUGUGAGGCCGGAACGUUCUCCUCUGCAGCGGGAAACAGUCACCGUGGCAACUGCACAUCAUGUCUGGCAGGAUUCUUCUGUCAGGGUGAGGGGGUAGUGCAGCCCGAGAUUUGCCCCUCGGGUCACUUCUGCCCCCCUGGCACGUCCUUGGCCCAGCAGUUCCCCUGCCCUCCAGGAACCCUACUUCCCCUGCCAGGGGCAACAAGCCCAGAGGAUUGCCUGCUUUGCCCCGCAGGCUUGUUCUGUGCUCUGCCGGGUCUAUCUGAGCCCACUGGCCCGUGUCAAGAGGGGUUCCACUGUUCCCCCGGAUCCAGCAGCCCAAACGGAACCGGAAUCACCAUGCAGAUGGAGUCCGAUGAAGGCUCAAUCUGCCCCACUGGAUUCUACUGCCCUGUUGGCACAUCCUACCCCGUCCCCUGCCCACCUGGUACCUUUUCCAGCACCCCGGGGCUGACUCGGGCCGAGCAGUGCCAGCCUUGCCCUGGGGGGCUGUGGUGUGGCCGCGCGGGCAUGACCCAGAUCGCUGAUGCUCUGCUCUGUGAGGGAAGAUAUGUCUGUGUGGGCGGCAGUGUGAGCCCCCGCCCUGGCGAUGGCAUUAUGGGAUACCUGUGUCCUCCAGGGCACAGCUGCCCAGCUGGCUCAGCAUUGGAGGUGCCCUGUGAGGCGGGCACGUACAGCUCCAGCUCGGGCGCUGCCAACUGCAGCCUGUGCCCGGCUGGCACCAUGUGCCCCUCCGAUGGCAUGCAGGAGCCGGCCCUGUGCCCGCUGGGUCAUUUCUGCCCCGUGGGCACGGCCUUGCCCCUGCCCUGCCCCACAGGCACUCUGGGGCAGAUGGCGGGUGCCCCAUCCCAGGCCUCCUGCUCCCCCUGCCCCACUGGACACUACUGUAACUCCCCAGGAGCCUCUCAGCCUCAAGGCCGAUGUGAGCAGGGGUACUUCUGCCAGGGUGGGGCCAGCAGUCUUGCCCCCCAGCCCUCCGCUGAGCUGCCCCAGAACGGACCCUGCCCAACUGGGCACUACUGCCCCCCUGGCACCCUCUCGCCACUACCCUGCCCAACAGGCACCGUCCGCAACCUCACCGGGGGCGUGUCCAUAGAGAGCUGCUUCUCCUGCCCCGGGGGGUAUUACUGUGACGGGGAGGGGCUGGACACCCCCAGCGGACCCUGUGACGCCGGGUUCUACUGCCCCUCGGACUCCUCCUCCACCACCCCCCACACAUUUAUGUGCACCAAGGGUCACUUCUGCCCCCAGGGCUCCCCCCUGCCCCUGCCCUGCCCCACGGGCCAGUACCAGCCCACCGCUGGCUCAGACUCCUGCAUCCCCUGCCGCCCCGGCUUCUACUGUGAGCAGGCAGUGGUGGGAGACCCCCUGGCCUGCCCCCCACACACCUUCUGCCCCGCAGCCACCAUGGUUCCCCAGCCCUGUCCCGACGGCACCUUCACCCCCCCUGGCCAGGGGGGUCUGAGGGAGGAGAGGGAGUGCCUCUCCUGCCCCCCGGGGAGGUACUGCAGGGCUGGCCAGAUUAAAGGCGUGUGUGCGGCGGGGUACCUGUGUGUGUCGGGCAGCUCUGAGUUCACCCCUCUGGAGCGCGUCCUGGCCGAAGGGGAGGUGUGUGAGUGGGGGGUGCAGUGUGCCGGAGCGUGCCCAGCAGGGUUCUACUGUGAGGAGGGCACAGAACGGGCGAUGCCAUGCCCUGACAACACGGUGCGCAGCUCUCCUGGAGCCAGCAGCCUCAGCGACUGCCUGCCAUGCCCACCCACACACUGGUGCAGAGAGGGGGGCGCUGUUCUGCAUGCCUGCCCGGUGGGACACUACUGUGACGGCGUAGCUGACUAUGAGUCAGGGGGCAGACCAGGACCCAGGAAGUGCCCGGUGUUCACCUACAGACCCACUCCCUCAGCAGGAAGCAAAGGGGACUGCCACCCCUGCCCACCGGGGACAUUCUGCAACUCCACAGGUCUCAGUCAUUACUCUGGGCUUCUCUGCCCUCCCGGGUUCUGGUGCAGUGGGUCCAGUCCGCCGGUGCCGUGUCCUGCGGGCACCUUUAGGGCGCAGCCAGGGGCAGCUGACGUCACCCAGUGUGAACCCUGCGACCCCGGCACCUACUGCCCUGACCCCAGGGCCACGGGCGUGCCCAACACAGCGGGCAUCCCCUGCAGGGCGUCCUACCAGUGCCCGGCAGGUUCAGCUCAGGAGACCUUGUGUCUGGCUGGGUUCUACUGCGGACCCCAGACAGGGGAGCCGCCGCCGUGCCCCCUGGGAUACAUGUGCCCACAGGGCUCCCACACGCACAGCAGUCCACAGCAGCAGUGCUCUUUCCCGUUCUUCUGCCCAGUGGGGAGCUCUGCCAAGCUCGCCUGCCCAGGUGGUUUCAUGCCCGUGAACUCCACAGGCCUGCGGGCAUCUCUGGAGAGCUCCUGUGUGCCCUGUCAGGCUGGCACAUACCGCCCAGCACUCGCCUCCGUCCUGCAGUGCCAGCCCUGCCCGCCUGGGUACCACUGCCCCGCAGGAGCAGAGAGCCCCAGUAGUCACCCCUGUCCAGCUGGAUACUUUUGCCCCCCGGGGUCUGCCAGCCCGCUUCCUUGCCCACCUGGUUUCUACGGCAACCGCACCAACCUGGAGGCUGUCGAGGAAUGCCAGACGUGCCCGGCGAGCACCUUCAACCACCUGCCAGCACAGACGGCCUGCUUCCCCUGUGGCAGCUCAGCCACAUCGGUCCAAGGCUCCUCGAGCUGCAGCUGCAUUGGGAGGAAGAGGGCCUUCCAGCCGUCCGACGGCUCGUGUUUGUGUCAGACGGGCUUUGUGUUCUACAACCAGCUGGACUUCAAGAGCUCCAGCGCAGACAGCCGGCUGGACUGCCAACCUGAGGUGAGUAAGCGCUGUGGUGGGGGAGAGGUGCGUCUGGCCUCGUCUCAGGAGUGUGUGAAGCCCUCUGAGUACUCCUGUGAUGUCACGUGUGGACCUCACAGCGGGAGACUGGAUGUGGAGCUGGGGAUCUGCCACUGUGAGAGGUAUGUGUCAUCAGAGGAGCUGUGUGAUGCGCUCUGCACCUCCCAGCUGCCCCUCAUCUCUGCCAGACGCUCCGCAGACGGACAGCUGCUGCUGGGGGUCAAAGCCCAGGAGGACAGCCACAGCUGGAAUAGAAAACUGGGCAAUGUGGUGGGCCCUGACACUCACGUCCAGGACAUCGGGAAGAUUCACUUUGUGCAGUUUGACUCUGAUGGAGUGUUUGGCUGGAUUCUUAAAGAUCCCAAGCUGAUAGACAGAAUGCUUAAAGAGCCUGUAGAAACUCUUGGCACUAUUCCCAGAAGGAAGCGAUCAUAUGAUGAUGAUGAUGAUGAUGAUGAUUAUGAAGAUGAUGAUGUCAUAAAGACGUCACUGCUGGAUACUCCCCCUCGCAUCCCCAACCCUAUUGCAUGCCUGUCAUCCAAAGACAUGCUCAUAUUCCAGCUCAACAUCAACCACACAGAUCGCCUCCACAGCCACUUCCCAGUGUACCAGAAGGACCAUCUCUUCAACAGCAACCCUAGCUGGGACUAUGGAGCCUUCAGGCGGCUGGAAUACCUGAUGAGACACACACACUUUAACUCCUCCAGGUUUGCCCACGUGUUCCCUGAGUCGGGCACGUUCGUGUUUGCAGACAGCGCUGUGCCCGAGAGGAGCCUGGUGGUGGUGGUGAGCGAGGACGGCUCCUCCUGCGACCCCAACGCGCCCCCCUUCCAGCCCAGCUCCCCCGCCCAGCUGGUCCGACACGGAGUCGCCCCGCGGCCCCGCCUCAACCUGCUGCCCGACUGGGGGGCCAUCGCAGGUAUCCUGGUGACCCUGCUGGUCCUGGUGGCGGUCGUGACAGGCACAGCUCUGCUGCUGAAGCCCCACAGGAGUCACCUGGUCUCCCAGGGCAACCCCAAACCUCGCUGGCGCAGUCUGGGACACCCCCCCACUCCCCUGGAGUACGUCUACAACGGGGAGAGCCUGGACGCUCCCUCUGCGCUGGGCCUGAGAGGGGUGGGAGAAGGAGCAGAGGCUGAGGAGAAAGCCAUCUGGAGAGGAGGCUGUAAGAGUGUGAGUAUGGAUCUGGAGGAGUUUAAUGUGAAGACGCUGUACGAUAAGCUGGAGGACCAGAACCUGCACGUGGCGUCCCAGCUGGCCAAGUACCGCAAAGACACACAGGAGUUUUACCGCAACAUCUGCCAGCAGACAGACAGCCUGAAGGACACUCUUGAGAACAUGGGGCCUGAGAAGCUCAAUCAGCUGAAAGAGAUCAUGCAGCUGAACAGCAAGCAAAGCCACGCACUCUACGGUGGACUGAGCCAGUACGAGGGGGGAGUUAGCAAAGACUCUCUGCAAGUGAUGGAAGCCCUGCUACAGGCAGUGGAGGCCCUGCUCUACAGGCUGUGUGGAGAGAGCUGGCAGCAGAUGGAGACGGCCCCUUGCCUCAGAGACACACGCCAGGGCGAACUCCAGACGGGAUACACACCAUUUUCCUCCACUGCCAUGACGGAGCUGAAAACAGGCCGAGAGACGGAGCAGGCUGGCUCAGAGUCAGUGCCCACCCAGUGCAGUGGUGUGUGUGUGAGUGAUCAGGAGCUGUCCCGGCUGGUGGCUCUCACUCCUCUCUCACGGACCAUCCAGGAGAUCCAGGAGUCUCUGCGGAGCCUGCCCCGCCCACAGGAAGCAGUGACCGAGGAGGAGCCGCCCUCCUGCCCCGCCACGCCCCUCACGCCCCUGACGCCCCUCGCCCUGGACUCCCUCUCCCCCUGGCACUUCUCCGUCUUCCUGUUCGGCUGCCACCUCGUCCGCCUGCUCCGGGGCAUCCAGGGCUUCCCCCAGGUCCUGCUGCUCCUGGCUAAGAGCGUGCCCGCGGCAGCCGCCUCUCACACCGACGACAGCAUGGUGGCCUACUGCUGCGGGGACUUUUAUUAUGACACACGCAACCAGAUCCUCUACCUGCUGGAGUCCAGGCUGCAGGACGUGGGCCAGUGGGUCUCCGUGCUCCUGCACUCCAUGGCCUACGUCAGCGCCGGCCAGGAGGGAGCUCGGCCCAGAGAGUUCAUGGAGGCCUUCCACAAGGCCCUGUCAGUGCUGGGGCUAGAGCUGUUCACACACUCUUUCACUCAGGACCAGAGGAGUACAGAGGACGAGGGCACCAGGAGUUUUCGAGGGACAGUCGUCGAGGACUUCUUGAGUGUGAGAGUGUCCUCUGACACACAUCUCACACCACACCUGCUGCAGGAGAGGCUUCAGAAAUACAAGUACUUCAAGCUGGAGCAGGUUCUCCAUGACCUCAGUCCAGCGAGGCAGCCUGAAGGAGCAGUGAAGGGCCACGAGGCUCCUCCCACACAGGUAUUGUGUGUGGAGCAGGAGAUAAAGAGGCUUAAUGACGUGUACCUGCAGCUGGGCUCACAGCUUCUGAGCCAAUCACCUGGGGCACACACACACUGUCACACACAGUCUCUCUCCCAGGCACCUCCAGAGACGGCUGUGGCCCAGGAGAGGACCCUGCUUCUGAGUCUGCAGCAGCACACCGUAGCCAAGAGGCUGGAGGAGAUGAGAGAGAAGCUCUCCAGGAUCACACCCCAGAAAACACACACCCCGCAGAAAUCACUUCCUGCUCAACACACACCAACACACAGCACCCUCUUGACAGAGAGCCAGGCCCAGGCCCAGACACACACACACCAGCCAGAGGAGCUGAAAUCAGAGAGCAGCGUCUCCCAGCAGGACACAGCAAAGCCCAGCGUCUAACACACACACACACACAGCAAAGCCCAGCGUCUAACACACACAGCAAAGCCCAACAUCUAACACACACAGCGUCUAACACACACAGCGUCUAACACACACAGCAAAGCCCAGCGUCUAACACACACAGCAAAGCCCAGCGUCUGACACACACAGCAAAGCCCAGCGUCUAACACACACAGCGUCUAACACACACAGCGUCUAACACAUACAGCAAAGCC